Molecule: long non-coding RNA, 248 nt
Filed under: Macaca mulatta (Rhesus monkey)
Lineage: Eukaryota; Metazoa; Chordata; Mammalia; Primates; Cercopithecidae
Description: lncRNA (ENSMMUG00000064202.1)
Source: RNAcentral
UAACCACAUAGGACGAUACCAGCUGAAUAUCAACCCUAAACGAAGUUAAGCAAGAAUACAGAGGACUACUUGAGUAAAUUUCACUUGAGAGGCAUUGUCAAUGCUAUAGGAUGUCUCCAGGAAGAAAUAGCCCUAUUGGCUGGAGAGGAAGACUAAAGCUUAAACAGGGUUGCCGGAGAAGCCUUCUCUACUUUUGCACUCCAGGUGAAGAGGCUCUGCGAUCUGCUCCCAUGCCAGCACAGCAUUGA